CUCUCUGUCUCUGUUUCUCUCUCUCCAGCUCUCUCUCUGUCUCUGUUUCUCUCUCCAUCUCUCUCUCUCUCUCUCUCUCUCUCUCUGUCUCUGUCUCUCUCUCUCUCUCUCUCUCUCUCUCUCCCUCUCCCUCUCCGUCUCCGUCUCCCUCUCUCUCUCUCUCUCUCUCUCUCUCUCUCUCUGUCUCUGUCUCCCUCUCUCUCUCUCUCCCUCUCUGUCUCCGUCUCCCUCUCUCUCUCUCUCUCUCCCUCUCCCUCUCUCCAUCUCUCUCUCUCUGUCUCCCUCUCUCUGUCUCUGUUUCUCUCUCUCUCUCCCUCUCUCCAUCCCUCUCUCUCUGUCUCCCUCUCUCUGUCUCUGUUUCUCUCUCUCUCUCUCUCUCUCCCUCUCCCUCUCUCCAUCUCUCUCUCUCUGUCUCCCUCUCUCUGUCUCUGUUUCUCUCUCUCUCUCUCUCUCUCCCUCUCCCUCUCUCUAUCAAUCUCUCUCUCUCUCUCUCUCUCUCUCUCUCUCUGCUAAGCCUGAUAUUAAAAAGGGAUUAAAGUGCUGAAAACAACAGAGAGCAAUUUCCUGCAUCCUGGUAGGACACUCCACAGACAGAGAGACGCACAGAGAGACGGAGAAACGGAGGAGUGAAAAUAGGAGGAACAGCGUGACGGCCUGCUGCCAAGAAAGGGGAGAAGGAGAGGUGAAGGGAGGAGAGAGAGAGAGAGAGCUUUUCACCAUGCUCUCUCUUUCUCAUUCCACACCUCAUUGUCUUUCUCUCUUUCUAUGCUCCCUUUCUUUCUUUCUGUCUACGCUCCCUUUCUCUUUCUCUGUCUACGCUCCCUUCCUUUCUCUCUCAGUAUGCUCCCUUUCUUUCUUUCUUUCUUUCUUUCUACGCUCCCUCUCUCUUUCACUCUCUCUACGCUCCCUCUCUCUUUCACUCUCUCUACACUCCCUUUCUCUUUCACUCUCUCUACGCUCCCUCUCUCUUUCACUCUCUCUACGCUCCCUCUCUCUUUCACUCUCUAUGCUCCCUUUCUCUUUCACUCUCUCUACGCUCCCACUCUCUCUUUCACUCUCUCUACGCUCCCACUCUCUUUCACUCUCUCUACACUCCCUUUCUCUUUCACUCUCUCUACGCUCCCUCUCUCUUUCACUCUCUAUGCUCCCUUUCUCUUUCACUCUCUCUACGCUCCCACUCUCUCUUUCACUCUCUCUACGCUCCCACUCUCUUUCACUCUCUCUACACUCCCUUUCUCUUUCACUCUCUCUACGCUCCCUCUCUCUUUCACUCUCUCUACGCUCCCUCUCUCUUUCACUCUCUCUACGCUCCCUCUCUCUUUCACUCUCUAUGCUCCCUUUCUCUUUCACUCUCUCUACGCUCCCACUCUCUCUUUCACUCUCUCUACGCUCCCUCUCUCUUUCACUCUCUCUACACUCCCUUUCUCUUUCACUCUCUCUACGCUCCCUCUCUCUUUCACUCUCUCUACGCUCCCUCUCUCUUUCACUCUCUAUGCUCCCUUUCUCUUUCACUCUCUCUACGCUCCCACUCUCUCUUUCACUCUCUCUACGCUCCCUCUCUCUUUCACUCUCUCUACGCUCCCACUCUCUCUUUCACUCUCUCUACGCUCCCUCUCUCUUUCACUCUCUCUACGCUCCCUCUCUAUGCUCCCUUUCUCUUUCACUCUCUCUACGCUCCCACUCUCUCUUUCACUCUCUCUACGCUCCCACUCUCUCUUUCACUCUCUCUACGCUCCCUCUCUCUUUCACUCUCUCUACGCUCCCUCUCUCUUUCACUCUCUCUACGCUCCCUCUCUUUCACUCUCUAUGCUCCCUUUCUCUUUCACUCUCUCUACGCUCCCUCUCUCUUUCACUCUCUCUACGCUCCCUCUCUCUUUCACUCUCUAUGCUCCCUUUCUCUUUCACUCUCUCUACGCUCCCACUCUCUCUUUCACUCUCUCUACGCUCCCUCUCUCUUUCACUCUCUCUAUGCUCCCACUCUCUCUUUCACUCUCUCUACGCUCCCUCUCUCUUUCACUCUCUCUACGCUCCCUCUCUCUUUCACUCUCUCUACGCUCCCACUCUCUCUUUCACUCUCUCUACGCUCCCACUCUCUCUUUCACUCUCUCUACGCUCCCUCUCUCUUUCACUCUCUCUACGCUCCCUCUCUCUUUCACUCUCUCUACGCUCCCUUUCUCUUUCACUCUCUACGCUCCCUCUCUCUUUCACUCUCUAUGCUCCCUUUCUCUUUCACGCUCUCUACGCUCCCUCUCUUUCAUUCUCUCUAUGCUCCCUCUCUUUCACUCUCUCUACGCUCCCUCUCUCUUUCACUCUCUCUACGCUCCCUCUCUCUUUCACUCUCUCUACGCUCCCUCUCUUUCAUUCUCUCUAUGCUCCCUCUCUUUCACUCUCUACGUUCCCUCUCUCUUUCACUCUCUCUACGCUCCCUCUCUCUACGCUCCCACUCUCUCUUUCACUCUCUCUACGCUCCCUUUCUCUUUCACUCUCUCUAUGCUCCCUCUCUCUUUCACUCUCUCUAUGCUCCCUCUCUCUUUCACUCUCUCUACGCUCCCUCUCUUUCACUCUCUCUACGUUCCCUCUCUUUCACUCUCUCUACGUUCCCUCUCUCUUUCACUCUCUCUACGCUCCCUCUCUCUACGCUCCCACUCUCUCUUUCACUCUCUCUACGCUCCCUUUCUCUUUCACUCUCUCUAUGCUCCCUCUCUCUUUCACUCUCUCUACGCUCCCUCUCUUUCACUCUCUCUACGUUCCCUCUCUUUCACUCUCUCUACGUUCCCUCCCUCUUUCACUCUCUCUACGUUCCCUCCCUCUUUCACUCUCUCUAUGCUCCCUCUCUCUUUCACUCUCUCUACGUUCCCUCUCUCUUUCACUCCUCUUUCACUCUCUCUACGUUCCCUCCCUCUUUCACUCUCUCUACGCUCCCUCUCUCUUUCACUCUCUCUACGCUCCCUCUCUUUCAUUCUCUCUACACUCCCUUUCUCUUUCACUCUCUACGCUCCCUUUCUCUUUCACUCUCUACGCUCCCUCUCUCUUUAACUCUCUCUACGCUCCCUCUCUCUUUCACUCUCUCUACGCUCCCUUUCUCUUUCUUUCUUUCUAUGCUCCCUUUCUUUCUCUCUCUCUACGCUCCCUUUCUCUCUCUACACUCCCUCCCUCUUUCUCUCUCUACACUACCUUUCUCAUUCUCUCUCUAUGCUCCCUUUCUCUCUCUACACUUCCUCUCUCUUUCUACACCUUUCUUUCUUUCUACAUCUUUCUCUUUCUUGCUCUAUGUUCCCUUUCUCUCUUUCUCUCUACAUUCCCUCUUUCUCUCUCUACACUACCUUUCUCAUUCUCUCUCUACGCUCCCUUUCUCUCUCUACACUCCCUCCCUCAUUCUCUCUCUACACUCCCUCUCUCAUUCUUUCUUUCUCUCUACACUCCCUCUCUUAUUCUCUCU
Molecule: long non-coding RNA, 3439 nt
Organism: Pygocentrus nattereri (red-bellied piranha)
Lineage: Eukaryota; Metazoa; Chordata; Actinopteri; Characiformes; Serrasalmidae
Source: Ensembl